UUUGCAUCCCACAUGGGCUUUGAGAGAAGUACUGGAUGUCCUGGCUGUAGAGUAAAAAAGACUAAUUCCAUCAUGACCCAGCAGCUGGAGAGGUUCAUUUGGAAAAGACUGAGCCCUGAAUGAGAAUUUCAGUACUGCUUCCAAUGGGGGGAAAAAGUAUUUAUAUUGAUGUGACCGUCAUGACAGUUCUACACCGUGAAUUUGUUAGAGGUCCUCUCCAGAAACUAGGAGUUUAUUUUCCCAUGUUGCCUCCUGUCCCAACUCACAGGGCAUUAUUUCAACACACAAGCCACAGAACAGGUGAGACAUACCACAGAUGCCUACUCCCUG
This 330-nucleotide long non-coding RNA is filed under the name Anser brachyrhynchus (Pink-footed goose). Its description in RNAcentral is "lncRNA (ENSABRG00000013043.1)". Lineage: Eukaryota; Metazoa; Chordata; Aves; Anseriformes; Anatidae. The record is from RNAcentral.